Molecule: ribosomal RNA, 271 nt
Filed under: uncultured prokaryote
Description: partial 16S ribosomal RNA
Rfam family: Bacterial small subunit ribosomal RNA
Source: RNAcentral
UACGGAGGAUCCGAGCGUUAUCCGGAUUUAUUGGGUUUAAAGGGCGCGCAGGCGGGAGAUUAAGUCGGCGGUGAAAUUUUGCAGCUCAACUGUAAAAGUGCCUUCGAAACUGGUUUCCUUGAGUGUGGAUGAAGUAGGCGGAAUUUGUGGUGUAGCGGUGAAAUGCAUAGAUAUCACGAGGAACUCCGAUUGCGCAGGCAGCUUACUAAACCAUAACUGACGCUCAUGCACGAAGGCGUGGGGAUCAAACAGGAUUAGAUACCCCCGUAGU